This 253-nucleotide ribosomal RNA is filed under the name uncultured bacterium. RNAcentral's name for it is "partial 16S ribosomal RNA". It matches the Rfam family "Bacterial small subunit ribosomal RNA", at positions 524 to 776 of the family's 1533-position model. The record is from RNAcentral.
CACGUAGGGCGCAAGCGUUGUCCGGAAUUAUUGGGCGUAAAGAGCUCGUAGGCGGUCUGUUGCGUCCGCUGUGAAAACUCGGGGCUUAACCCCGAGCCUGCAGUGGAUACGGGCAGACUAGAGGUAGGUAGGGGAGAAUGGAAUUCCCGGUGUAGCGGUGAAAUGCGCAGAUAUCGGGAAGAACACCCGUGGCGAAAGCGGCUCUCUGGAACGGUACUGACGCUGAGACGCGAAAGCGUGGGGAGCGAACAGG